Saimiri boliviensis boliviensis (Bolivian squirrel monkey) is the source of this 648-nucleotide long non-coding RNA. RefSeq lists it as uncharacterized. Lineage: Eukaryota; Metazoa; Chordata; Mammalia; Primates; Cebidae. The record is from RefSeq and is a predicted model, not a curated record.
GCCUUUUGUGAGAAAUUGUGUGUUUCAAGUGACUCAGACUGUAUGCCUGGUUUCCAAUGACUGGAGCAAUUAUCUGCAGCAGUGUGUCAGGUAUUAUAUGUUAAAGCUGCCAGACAGGGUAGGAGCCACUUGCAUAUGCCAGCUGCUCAUGGCUAGUUGUCCUCACACCUGGGACCAGCAGUUACCAAGACUGCCUUUAUUUCAGGGCAUUUCCCUUCCCUUCCUUUCAUGGCAUCAGCUUUUGGUACCAUUCUCUGUUGGUGUGAGGAAAGGAACAUCUGGAAAGUCAACAGGCUUCAAGAACUAGGAACCCACAGUGAGUCCUCACUAGCAAGAAGACCCAAACCAGAUGUAGCCCCUUGACCGUGGACGUCUCAGCCUCCAGAAUUACAUGAGAAGACUAACUCCAGUAAAGAGAAUUGCAACCAUCAUAUCACUUAGGCCCUCGGUUAUGAACAUAAACACCCAGGAAGAAGAGAAGAGAAAAAGGACUAGGGAGAAAGAAGAAGAAAUGCUCAUUUAUACAGUUUCCAAGGGGUAUUAACCACAUCCAGAAGGAAACAUCCAUAAUACAGAUGUGCUGUGAGUACUUUUUCAGUCAUUAAGAAGGGCAUUUUAAUGUACUUAAGAGGAGUGAACACAUGCCAC